UACGUAGGUGGCGAGCGUUGUCCGGAUUUACUGGGCGUAAAGGGAGCGUAGGCGGACUUUUAAGUGAGAUGUGAAAUACUCGGGCUCAACUUGAGUGCUGCGUUUCAAACUGGAAGUCUAGAGUGCAGGAGAGGAGAAUGGAAUUCCUAGUGUAGCGGUGAAAUGCGUAGAGAUUAGGAAGAACACCAGUGGCGAAGGCGAUUCUCUGGACUGUAACUGACGCUGAGGCUCGAAAGCGUGGGGAGCAAACAGG
Molecule: ribosomal RNA, 253 nt
Filed under: uncultured bacterium
Lineage: Bacteria
Description: partial 16S ribosomal RNA
Rfam family: Bacterial small subunit ribosomal RNA
Source: RNAcentral